RNAcentral lists this long non-coding RNA (346 nucleotides) under Homo sapiens (human). Its description in RNAcentral is "HSALNT0264302". The record is from RNAcentral. Lineage: Eukaryota; Metazoa; Chordata; Mammalia; Primates; Hominidae.
GUCACACUCGUCGCGGGUGCACUUGCGGUCUCCCGGGUUCCGGGCGCCGCCGCAGCAGUUCCCGUUCUGCAGCUCCCCGUUCACGUUCUGCAUGGACAGGAUCUCCAACUCGAACUGACCCGAGGCCCCACACACCUGCCGGCGAGGGAAGGAGCGAUGACACAAGCGACAUCUUGGAAGAGGCAAAACUUGAGACAGGUCUUCAAGGAUUGGUGCCAUCUGGACAGGUUGAAGAGGAGUAGGAGGGCUUUCGGAUGUGGAGAAUGGCAUGCACAAAAGCACGGAGGUGAGAAUGCACAUAUGUGUCUGGGACUUCUAAAACAGGGCAGCCUGAUUGGAUUGGAGC